RNAcentral lists this ribosomal RNA (448 nucleotides) under uncultured bacterium. RNAcentral describes it as "partial 16S ribosomal RNA". It matches the Rfam family "Bacterial small subunit ribosomal RNA", at positions 330 to 794 of the family's 1533-position model. The record is from RNAcentral.
UCCAGACUCCUACGGGAGGCAGCAGUGGGGGAUAUUGCACAAUGGGGGGAACCCUGAUGCAGCGACGCCGCGUGGGUGAAGGAGCGUUUCGGCGCGUAAAGCCCUAUCGGCAGGGAAGAAGGAGGACGGUACCUGACUAAGAAGCCCCGGCUAACUACGUGCCAGCAGCCGCGGUAAUACGUAGGGGGCAAGCGUUAUCCGGAUUUACUGGGUGUAAAGGGGGCGCAGACGGCAGCGCAAGCCAGGAGUGAAAGCCCGGGGCCCAACCCCGGGACUGCUCUUGGAACUGCGCGGCUGGAGUGCAGGAGGGGCAGGCGGAAUUCCUGGUGUAGCGGUGAAAUGCGUAGAUAUCAGGAGGAACACCGGUGGCGAAGGCGGCCUGCUGGACUGCGACUGACGUUGAGGCCCGAAAGCGUGGGGAGCAAACAGGAUUAGAUACCCGAGUAGA